UACGUAGGGCGCAAGCGUUGUCCGGAAUUAUUGGGCGUAAAGAGCUCGUAGGCGGCUUGUCACGUCGGGUGUGAAAGCCCCGGGGCUUAACCCCGGGUCUGCAUUCGAUACGGGCUAGCUAGAGUGUGGUAGGGGAGAUCGGAAUUCCUGGUGUAGCGGUGAAAUGCGCAGAUAUCAGGAGGAACACCGGUGGCGAAGGCGGAUCUCUGGCCAUUACUGACGCUGAGGAGCGAAAGCGUGGGGGAGCGAACAGG
This 254-nucleotide ribosomal RNA is filed under the name uncultured bacterium. RNAcentral describes it as "partial 16S ribosomal RNA". It matches the Rfam family "Bacterial small subunit ribosomal RNA", at positions 524 to 776 of the family's 1533-position model. The record is from RNAcentral.